GAUGAACGCUGGCGGCGUGCCUAAUACAUGCAAGUCGAGCGAACGGACGAGAAGCUUGCGUCUCUGAUGUUAGCGGCGGACGGGUGAGUAACACGUGGAUAACCUACCUAUAAUACUGGGAUAACUUCGGGAAACCGGAGCUAAUACCGGAUAAUAUUUUGAACCGCAUGGUUCAAAAGUGAAAGACGGUCUUGCUGUCACUUAUAGAUGGAUCUGCGCUGCAUUAGCUAGUUGGUAAGGUAACGGCUUACCAAGGGAACGAUGCAUAGCCGACCUGAGAGGGUGAUCGGCCACACUGGAACUGAGACACGGUCCAGACGCCUACGGGAGGCAGCAGUAGGGAAUCUUCCGCAAUGGGCGAAAGCCUGACGGAGCAACGCCGCGUGAGUGAUGAAGGUCUUCGGAUCGUAAUACUCUGUUAUUAGGGAAGAACAUAUGUGUAAGUAACUGUGCACAUCUUGACGGUACCUAAUCAGAAAGCCACGGCUAACUACGUG
Molecule: ribosomal RNA, 497 nt
Filed under: uncultured bacterium
Lineage: Bacteria
Description: partial 16S ribosomal RNA
Rfam family: Bacterial small subunit ribosomal RNA
Source: RNAcentral